RNAcentral lists this ribosomal RNA (200 nucleotides) under uncultured bacterium. RNAcentral's name for it is "partial 16S ribosomal RNA". It matches the Rfam family "Bacterial small subunit ribosomal RNA", at positions 8 to 214 of the family's 1533-position model. The record is from RNAcentral.
AGAGUUUGAUCCUGGCUCAGAGCGAACGCUGGCGGCGUGCUUAACACAUGCAAGUCGAACGGGUGUAGCAAUACACUCGUGGCGAACGGGUGCGUAACACGUGGACAACCUUCCUGCAGGUGGGGAAUAACUCGCCGAAAGGCGAGCUAAUACCGCAUAACAUCUCGAGGGCACAUGCUCUUGAGUUCAAAGCCGCAAGG